RNAcentral lists this ribosomal RNA (309 nucleotides) under uncultured bacterium. RNAcentral describes it as "bacterial SSU rRNA". It matches the Rfam family "Bacterial small subunit ribosomal RNA", at positions 772 to 1079 of the family's 1533-position model. The record is from RNAcentral.
ACCGAAUAGAUACCCGGGUAGUCCGCGCCGUAAACGAUGGAUGCUGGCUGUGAGAGGUAUCGACCCCUCUCGUAGCGAAAGCUAACGCGUUAAGCAUCCCGCCUGUGGAGUACGGUCGCAAGACUAAAACAUAAAGGAAUUGACGGGGACCCGCACAAGCGGUGGAGCGUGUUGUUUAAUUCGAUGGUAAACGAAGAACCUUACCCAGGUUUGACAUCCUUGGAAGUUUUCCGAAAGGAAAAUGUGCUUUAUUGAACCAAGUGACAGGUGUUGCACGGCCGUCGUCAGCUCGUGUCGUGAGAUGUUUGG